ACCGAAUUCGCACUGCGCAUGUGCAAACGGUAUCUUGGGAGUUCCCGGCCAUGUUAUGCAGGUGUUUGAAAAAAAAAUGGAUACAUUUUUGGCGUUGGAAACUAUACUUACUGACAAAACAUCCAUUUGAACUGGGAGUGUGGACACAAGAGGUGUGCGGACUCCUGCAGUCCUGAGAUUGAGAACAAUUGUGGCAGAUAGCUGGGUUUAAGUGGGUUACACCUGUUCACUCAGAACUGCUUUGUUCCAGAGAUGUGCAAUAAUGAGGGAAAUGCCUGAGUACAUGUAUGUACGAUUUGACCGAACGUGACCACAGAAACAUCUUAAUAUUAGAACUGCACAAGAUAAGUUAUUAUACCUUUAUAUUAUUAUAUUAUAUAUCAUAUUUCCUUUUUCAUGAACAUGCCUUAUGAAUGCGGUAAAUACGAAUCACUUCUUUUUUCGACAUUUCUUGUGAGAAAAUUAGAAGUUACCAAAUAAUCGUUUUAAACUUCCGCAAGUCAGAACCUUGUUUGUAUCAAUAUAUUUAUACUACACUACAUACUUUAUUAAAAUAAAAACCACAACAUUUAUAUUUUAUGGUAGUCUAAAAUAAUAGACGUGUUAUACGGGAUUUGCCAUAUCAAAAAUCUAAAAAAAAAUCGUCAACAUACAAUUAUUUGGACUAUAUUUUAUGGCUGAAACAAGCAAAUCAAAAUCAUAUCAUAAAAUAAUUUAUAUGAUUGAAGUUUUAUUCAUUUAAUUUGUAUUUUGUGGACAUCGUGGGUAACAAAUUUGGGAUAAAUGAAUUGUUAUUAACAAAACAAGAUGGAAAAAAAAACAUUUACAAUUUUUCAAUUUAAAUUUGUUAUAUUUCAAAUGCUACAUAUAUAUAACAUUAAAACCAAUCAAGCAUUUGCUGCUGGUUUUUGCAAUCUUACAGUGAAUGUGCUAGGCGCCAGCAUUUUUCCCAAGAUUGCUUAAACCGAACCUGGGUAGCAUAAAAUGUUUGUUUGAUCUUCAUGUUAUUUGCCAUCUUUGUUGGCACACAAUUGGGGCUUUUUAAGGUUAUAAGAAAAUAUUGACAAGUCGAUAGGCAAACCUUGUUCACAAAAUAUACUAUUCAAAUUUGUUUUUGGUUCAAAUUUUAUUAUCAAAUUAAUUAAUAACAUACAAAUUGAUUAAAAAUGUAUAUAUACAACAAAUAGAAACUAAGGUAUAAGACAACUAUUGUUAUGUAUUGUCUAAAAUAGGGUGUUUAAAAUAAAGUCAUAAAAUAUGGGCGUUGCAGAAAAUGUCAUUUUUCUUAUAUAGUUUGUCUUUUUCCAAUCAUUAUUUGGUACAUGAUAGUAUGAACUCGUAUACAGAUGAGGUUGUUGUUUUUGCAAACAAACAAAAAACCUUGAUGAUUAGGAUGACACAUACAUGUGAAAUUAAAGAAAAGGUUUUAUAACGUGUAUGCUGCAAAUAACGCUAUUAUUUCAGAAUUUAACCCCCAUUUCAUGAAACUGGAAGUCAACAUAACCCAGGAAAAAGCCAGAUGCAAUAUGAUAACAGAUGAUUCAGGUUGAUGGCGUUACAACAAUCUUGCUGGAAUGAAGAUCCCUGAAUAUCACCAUAGCCACAAGGGGCUGGAUUGGAAUGAAAUGUUUCUGCAUCCUCCCUGUUCCCCUUGUCUUCCCUUGUCAUUACAGACCUGAUUAGACCUCUGAAUGCUGAUGUCACAGCUAUCGUACCAUGUGACGUCAUUUGUUCAACCCGACAGCUUCCUGUGUAGGAAUACGUCACAGAAGCAUAAGUCCUCAUUUUCUUAAGCUGGAACGUCAAUACCAUCCCAAAAGAGUUUCGGUGCGCGUGACAACAAACUCGUAGUUGAUGACAUAUUUCCUAAUACAGGGUCACAUAAAUAUCUCCAUAGCCACAAGAACAGUGGCCAGUCACUCAGUUCCUGCCAAUUUCCCCGACUUUCUUCCUGUGGCAUCACAUACCUGUUCAAGACUACUGGGUGCUGAUGUCACAGCUAUUGUACUACAUGACAUCAUUCGUUCAACCCCAACAGCUUCCGGUGUGAGACAGAGCAUCACAGAAGCAUGCAAGUUUUACAGAGAUACCUAUGCCUGUAUUAAUAAAAAAUGACCAAAUCUUCUACAGAAUAACGCUAGAUAAAACACCACUACAGAAAUGAGACUGACGCCAGAUAUAACUGCCCUAGAGAAUAACGCCAGAUAAAGCUGCCAUACAGAAUAACGCCAGAUAAAACACCGCUUCAAAAUAACGUUAGAUGAAACUGAGCUCCAAAAUAAUGAAACACAGUUCAGAAACUGCCAGAUAAAACUGCACUACAGAAUAACACUCAGAAAUGGCUUCACAAUAAUGCCAGAUGAAACUCCCCUACAGAAUAACGCCACAUGAAACUGCGCUAUAUAGAAUAACACCAUUUGAGACUGGGCUAAGAUGCCAGAUGAAACUGCGCUGCAGAAUAACACUAGAUGAAGCUGCGCUAUAUAGAAUAACACCAUUUGAGACUGGGCUAAGAUGCCAGAUGAAACUGCGCUGCAAAAUAACACUAGAUGAAACUGCGCUACAGAAUAACACAAGAUGAAAUUGCGCUGCAGAAUAACACAAGAUGAAGCUGCGCUGCAAAAUAGCACAAGAUGAAACUGCGCUACAGAAUAACACAAGAUGAAACUGCACUGCAGAAUAACACUAGAUGAAACUGCGCUGCAGAACAGCACAAGAUGAAACUGCACUGCAGAAUAACACAAGAUGAAGCUGCGCUGCAGAACAGCACAAGAUGACACUGCACUGCAGAAUAACACUAGAUGAAACUGCGCUAUAUAGAAAAACACCAUUUGAGACUGGGCUAAGAUGCCAGAUGAAACUGCAAAAUAACACUAGAUGAAACUGCGCUGCAGAAUAACACUAGAUGAAACUGCGCUGCAGAAUAACGUCAGAUGAAACUGCGUUAUAUAGAAUAACACCAUUUGAGACUGGGCUAAGAUGUGAGAUGAAACUGCGCUACAGAAUAACACAAGAUGAAACUGCGCUGCAGAAUAACACAAGAUGAAGCUGCGCUGCAGAAUAGCAUAAGGUGAAGCUGCGCUACAGAGUAGCACAAGAUGAAACUGCACUACAGAAUAACACUAGAUGAAACUGCGCUGCAGAAUAAGUCUAGAUGAAACUGCGCUACAGAAUAACCUUAGAUGAAACUGCGCUGCAGAAUAACCUUAGAUGAAACUGCGCUAUAGAAUAACACAAGAUGAAACUGCGCUGCAGAAUAACACAAGAUGAAACUGCGCUGCAGAAUAACACAAGAUGAAAUUGCCCUGCAGAAUAAAGCCAUAUGAGAUUGGGCUAAGAUGCCAGAUGAACCUGCGCUACAGAAUAAUGUCAGAUGAAACUGCGCUGCAGAAUAACACCAUAUGAGAUUGGGCUAUGAUGCCAGAUGAAACUGUGCUACAGAAUAACACAAGAUGAAACUGCACUGCAGAAUAAUGCCAGAUAAAACUGUGCUACAGAAUAACACAAGAUGAAACUACGCUACAGAAUAACGCCAGGUGAAACUGGGCUACAGAAUAACACCAGCAAAGACAUCGCUACAGAAUAAUAAUGCCAUUUGAGACUGUUCUACAAAAUGAAACCAGAUUAAAAAGUGCUACAUAAUAAUGUGGAAUUAAACUGCUGAUUCAUUGCAUGCUUUGAGUAGGAUAAAAUGUGGCUUGACUAUGGAAGGAAAUUUAAGAUGAUUAGAAAUCUGAAGACAAUCCAUUUUUACGAUGUAUCAACACUUUUAAAGAUUAUUGUUUUAUACCACAAAAUAGAGUUUGCUUUUGCUAAGAUAUUAAAAUGCUAACUGUUUUGGCAACUUGACUGCUUACAACAACGUUGUAUACCAGACGGCACCUUAAUUAGAAAAAGGAGAGAUUUUCUAAAUUAAUGAAGUAAUUUGAUCAUAGACAAUUGAUUUUAUGUAAAUUUUUGAACUUCUAACCUAUUGGGAGGCGCCUGCUUCUUUAAAGAUGAAACGUUGGUGAAUUGCUGAAACACACUAGUUGUUCUCUAACACUUAGUAAGAACACUUUAGUUGUUCUCUAACACUAACACUUGACACCUCUACUCAGUGAUUCACCAACAAAGCACCCCCUUUGGUUGAAAACAUGUACAAAUAUAUAAAAUAUAUAUCAUUAUUAGUAUUUUGAAUUUAUCAUCUCUCCAAGUCAAUGUUCACUAUUGUAAGUUUUAUUUUCGUUUGUUUUUGAUACAUCACAAAUUUAAAAACAUAUAACAUGUUUUUAAAUGUUUAAUAACAUUUUUUAUAUGCCAUUGUUUAUUAAAAUGAUAAUAAUUAUAUACUUGCAUACAUUUUAAACUAAAAAUGUAUAAUAAAUAUUGUGCUACAUGUA
Long non-coding RNA from Mya arenaria, 4382 nucleotides. RefSeq lists it as uncharacterized. NCBI's taxonomy places the organism in Eukaryota, Metazoa, Mollusca, Bivalvia, Myida, Myidae. The record is from RefSeq and is a predicted model, not a curated record. The transcript is spliced from 7 exons.